RNAcentral lists this long non-coding RNA (1069 nucleotides) under Ursus maritimus (polar bear). RNAcentral describes it as "lncRNA (ENSUMAG00000007223.1)". The record is from RNAcentral. Lineage: Eukaryota; Metazoa; Chordata; Mammalia; Carnivora; Ursidae.
CCUGCUUUCCAGGCUUGGAAGCAAUCCUUUUACAUGCUAAUUACAAGCCCUUCGGUGUUCGCGAGAGCAGAUCCCUCUGGGAUUUCUAUUUGCCAACAAGUUGCUUAUUUCCAGUUUAAAGGGAGUGAAGGGUCUGUGAAUUAUUGAGCGGCGACGCUGUGUUUUGCCAGUACUGGAUGAGAGAUCGCUUCUCUUCAUCUUCACAGCCAUCGUUGGACCUAAGCGUUGCCCCAGUCAGAACCCGGGAUUGGAAAUCUGGCUCAAGGGGCAGAGCUGGUAGGUCUCGGAGCUGGGAUUCAAAACCGGGCAAGCCCACGCGCCCUCCUCGAGCACAGUAUCAACCUUCCAGCAUAUUAAGUCUGCUUCCUUCUCUCGUAUAUUCCCAAAUUCAGUCUUCUCAGUAUUUCAGAAUGGCCUGUCUCUAGUGCAGAUUAUCUAGCUCUUGUAAACUCUGUUUUCAUUUCAGUAACAAGAAGAAGGAGGCAUUCAGCCAAGAGGCAAGCUGUCCGAGGGGAGGGAGGUUGCAGGUUCGGGCUAAUACAUCAUGCUCUGCGGUGUUUCCUGAGCUCUACCAAUCACUCUGCAAGAAGACGUGAUGGAAAAUCAGUCCCUCUUUGUUGUAUCUUUUUUUUUUCUUUCGGGAAGAUGUGUUUUCAGCACUCGCACGCAGGAGACACAGACUGCCUGUGGCCCCCGGGUGCAGGCCAGAGAGGCGAGGAUCCUGCCUGGGAAGGGUAAUGGAGUGCGAUGCCAAUGCCAGCCCCCGCCUUCCCCUGUGCUGACUUAAGUGUGAAGACCCUCCAUAGCUCCAGCUCACUUCUCCCAGGACAAGGGAAGGACAUCCUCCCACUCCAGCGCUCCUCUGAUGGAACCAUCUGGAACUGUGGCCCAGCGAAGCCCAUGGCCCCAGGAAAACGGUUCUCUGGUGGAACAGAGGAUCACAUAGCAAUGUUGGCCCCAGGGCACCUGAGGGAGGAGGACAGGGACAGGACUGAGAAUGGAGGAGAGGGCAAUUUCCCAGACUAAGAUGGGCUACGAGUUACCCAAAGGAAAAAUAAGAGCAGGAGAC